Long non-coding RNA from Lates calcarifer (barramundi perch), 1325 nucleotides. RefSeq lists it as uncharacterized. The transcript has 5 exons. Lineage: Eukaryota; Metazoa; Chordata; Actinopteri; Centropomidae. The record is from RefSeq and is a predicted model, not a curated record.
GAGGCGGAGAAACGAAGUGGGAAAACAGAUUUAAACCAAGGUUGAAGCCGGGGUUCUGUUUGCUGCUCCUGUGAGAAAACGUUGUUGCCGGGGAGGUGUAGCUGCUGAAACAAACUAAGGAGCUGCUUUUUCUGGUCGAACGUGAGUGAGACUGGAGAUUGAACACACCCGCUGCGCGAGGGUUUACUGGUUCAGCUGCUGCAGCCUGGACAGAAACAUCAGCUCUCACCUGACACCUCUCACGGAGUCACCACUUCGUCCACGAUCACAGAGAUUCUUUGUACAAUGAAGAAGUUCUGUGAGACCAGGACAGAGGCCUCCAGGAUUCAAACUUGAACCAUCAAAUCACAGAAGAGACAGAUGUGAAGACAUUUCCAGAAGGUCUUCAGCUGCUGUCGUCAUCUUCCCCUGCAGAGACAAGAACACGUUAAUCACGGAAACUGAUCAGUAAAUGCAUUUUUCCUCUCCUCUCUAAACUGUACUUAUUCAUUUUUAAUACCUACAAUUUACAAUGAUUUAAACUAAACUUAACUCAGUAUCACAAAUUUUUGUGUUUUUUUGUAAUUAUUACAGUCACUGUAAUGAAUACUUCUGAAACUGUAUAUAAGAAGAACUUAUUGUAAUUCUGACUUUAUUUCCCCAUUUUUUUGACACCUUACUGUGACAAUUUUUGAUGCCUGACUAUACUAUGAUAUUUUGUCACAUUUUUACUGCCUUACUAUACUAUGACAUAUUUGAUGUUUUUUGGCACUUUGCUGUAUUGUGACAUUUUUUUGUGAUUUUUGACACCUUACUUUACUGUGACAUGUGACAUAUGUUUUUCAUGCCUUACUAUACUGUGACUUUAUUCUUUUCCUUUUUUUUUGGCUUUACAUUUUUUUUUUGACAUUUUUUGAUGUUUUUUAUGCCUUACUAUACUAUGACUUUUUUUUUUUUUUUAAUUUUUAUGACACCUUACUAUACUAUAACAUGUUUAAACGUUUUUUGAUGUUUUUGAUGUUUUUUGAUGCCUUACUGUACUAUGACAUUUUUUGACUGUUUUUGAUGCCUUACUAUAUUAUGAUAUACGGCUUAAUUAUGUUAAAGCAGCCAUCUUACCUUUGUUUUCCACAGACAAACACAUAUUCACAGAGACUUCUAGAUUUUGUCAUUUUGUUAUUUUAUUUCAAACAUUUUUAUAUGUUAUAUAUUAUCUUGUUUUACACCUUGUCUUGUUUAUAUUUUUCCUUUUUCUAUUUUUGCCGCUGCAACACCUUAUUUCCCUGCUGUAAGGCAAAUUAAGGAUUAUCUUAUGCUUUCUCAAAUAAAUACUUCUGAACACUGAA